GGGGCAGGACAAGGGUUUUGUAGGAGGGGCUGACAGCGGCUUUGCAAAGUUUAUAAAUUGUAAAAAGAGAGAGAGAACCUUUAACAUUUUUUAUUUUUUUUUUUUUUUGGGUGGGUGGGUGGCCAAGCACAGGAUCCGCCCCGGGUGCCAAAUGCUCUAGGUACGCCUCUGCUCCUUAGUCCACUGUCACUGCUCGGGGACUUUGCAGAAUUUGAAAAGCCCCCCCCUUUGGUCACACAACCCAUGGGGCCCCGGUGCGAAAACUGAUCAUAUUUUGGCCCCCGGUCUCAUUGAGUGGCGCGCUGGGGAGGGGGAGCAAAGACAGAACAGCCAGCUGCCUGCCCAGCCCCAGGUGCCAACGGCCCACCGGGAAAUUUCCCGGUGGGCCAGUCCGGCCCUGCCCCCCAGCCUCCUUACCUUUGG
Non-coding RNA from Pelobates cultripes (western spadefoot toad), 423 nucleotides. NCBI's taxonomy places the organism in Eukaryota, Metazoa, Chordata, Amphibia, Anura, Pelobatidae. The record is from the annotation of a GenBank genome assembly.